AGAGUUUGAUCAUGGCUCAGAACGAACGCUGGCGGCGUGCUUAACACAUGCAAGUCGAGUGCGCGUACCGUAGCAAUACGGUAUGGCGCACGGCGCACGGGUGCGUAACACGUGGGCAAUCUGCCCUUCGAUGGGGAAUAUCUUCGGGAAACCGAAGCGAAUUCCGCAUAACAUUCCUUGGAUUUCGGUUCGAGGACUCAAAGCCGUAAGGCGUCGAAGGAGGAGCCCGCGCCCGAUUAGCUAGUUGGUGAGGUAAUGGCUCACCAAGGCAAUGAUCGGUAGCUGGUCUGAGAGGAUGGCCAGCCACACUGGAACUGAGACACGGUCCAGACUCCUACGGGAGGCAGCAGUGGGGAAUAUUGCACAAUGGGCGAAAGCCUGAUGCAGCGACGCCGCGUGGGGGAUGAAGCAUUUCGGUGUGUAAACCCCUUUCGACCCGGACGAAUGCCUCGCAAGAGGAGUGACGGUACGGGUAUAAGAAGCCCCGGCUAACUACGUGCCAGCAGCCGCGGUAAGACGUAGGGGGCCAGCGUUGUUCGGAAUUACUGGGUGUAAAGGGUUCGUAGGCGGUGCGGCAAGUUGGGAGUGAAAUCUCUGGGCUCAACCCAGAGGCUGCUUCCAAAACUGCUGUGCUUGAGUGUGGGAGAGGCGCGUGGAAUUGCAGGUGUAGCGGUGAAAUGCGUAGAUAUCUGCAGGAACACCCGUGGCGAAAGCGGCGCGCUGGACCACAACUGACGCUGAGGAACGAAAGCUAGGGGAGCAAACAGGAUUAGAUACCCUAGUAGUCC
RNAcentral lists this ribosomal RNA (788 nucleotides) under uncultured bacterium. Its description in RNAcentral is "bacterial SSU rRNA". It matches the Rfam family "Bacterial small subunit ribosomal RNA", at positions 8 to 796 of the family's 1533-position model. The record is from RNAcentral.